This 253-nucleotide ribosomal RNA is filed under the name uncultured bacterium. RNAcentral describes it as "partial 16S ribosomal RNA". It matches the Rfam family "Bacterial small subunit ribosomal RNA", at positions 524 to 776 of the family's 1533-position model. The record is from RNAcentral.
UACAGAGACUGCAAGCGUUAUUCGGAUUCACUGGGCGUAAAGGGUUCGCAGGCGGCCAAGUGUGUUAGGCGUGAAAGCCCGGGGCUUAACCCCGGAAUUGCACCUAAAACUACAUGGCUAGAGCAUUGGAGAGGGUAGCAGAAUUCACGGUGUAGCAGUGAAAUGCGUAGAUAUCGUGAGGAAUACCAGAGGCGAAGGCGGCUACCUGGACAAUUGCUGACGCUCAGGCACGAAAGCGUGGGGAGCAAAAGGG